CCUACGGGAGGCUGCAGUGGGGAAUAUUGGGCAAUGGGCGCAAGCCUGACCCAGCAACGCCGCGUGAAGGAAGAAGGCUUUCGGGUUGUAAACUUCUUUUGUCAGGGACGAAGCAAGUGACGGUCCCUGACGCAUAAGCCACGGCUAACUACGUGCCAGCAGCCGCGGUACUACGUAGGUGGCAAGCGUUAUCCGGAUUUAUUGGGUGUAAAGGGCGUGUAGGCGGGAAUGCAAGUCAGAUGUGAAAACUAUGGGCUCAACCCAUAGCCUGCAUUUGAAACUGUAUUUCUUGAGUGCUGGAGAGGCAAUCGGAAUUCCGUGUGUAGCGGUGAAAUGCGUAGAUAUACGGAGGAACACCAGUGGCGAAGGCGGAUUGCUGGACAGUAACUGACGCUGAGGCGCGAAAGCGUGGGGAGCAAACAGGAUUAGAUACCCCAGUAGUC
RNAcentral lists this ribosomal RNA (443 nucleotides) under uncultured bacterium. RNAcentral describes it as "partial 16S ribosomal RNA". It matches the Rfam family "Bacterial small subunit ribosomal RNA", at positions 338 to 795 of the family's 1533-position model. The record is from RNAcentral.